This 253-nucleotide ribosomal RNA is filed under the name uncultured bacterium. RNAcentral's name for it is "partial 16S ribosomal RNA". It matches the Rfam family "Bacterial small subunit ribosomal RNA", at positions 524 to 776 of the family's 1533-position model. The record is from RNAcentral.
UACAGAGGGGGCGAGCGUUGUUCGGAAUUACUGGGCGUAAAGGGCGCGUAGGCGGUGUGUCAAGUCAGGCGUGAAAGCCCCGGGCUCAACCUGGGAACCGCGCUUGAGACUGGCACGCUAGAGUUCGGGAGAGGAUGGUGGAAUUCCCAGUGUAGAGGUGAAAUUCGUAGAUAUUGGGAAGAACACCGAUGGCGAAGGCAGCCAUCUGGACCGACACUGACGCUGAGGCGCGAAAGCGUGGGGAGCAAACAGG